RNAcentral lists this long non-coding RNA (609 nucleotides) under Homo sapiens (human). Its description in RNAcentral is "HSALNT0050671". Lineage: Eukaryota; Metazoa; Chordata; Mammalia; Primates; Hominidae. The record is from RNAcentral.
AGGACAGUACUGCUUUUAAAGAGACAGUGUUAGGGAUCUUGGAAGCACAGCCAACAUGUGUGACAUUGAAGAAGCCACUAACCAACUCCUAGAUGUGAACCUUCAUGAGAACCAGAAGUCUGUACAAGUGACAGAAAGUGACCUCGGAAGUGAAUCUGAGCUUCUAGUCACUAUUGGAGCCACUGUACCUACUGGCUUUGAGCAAACAGCUGCAGAUGAAGUCAGAGAGAAACUUGGGUCAUCAUGCAAAAUCAGCAGAGACCGUGGCAAGAUAUAUUUUGUCAUUUCAGUGGAAAGUCUGGCACAGGUUUGAAUGGAGCAAUAUUUAAAAUAGUUUUCUAAGUUGAUCAUUUUAUGGUUACUUUUCAUUUUAUAGACCCUUCUGGAAUCCUUUCUGAUUUUCAUUGCUCUGCCCCAAAUCAGGUUCAUUGUCUGAGAUCAGUUGAUAACUUAUUUGUGGUGGUUCAGGAGUUUCAAGAUUACCAGUUCAAACAAACAAAGGAAGAAGUUCUAAAGGAUUUUGAAGACUUGGCUGGAAAACUCCCAUGGUCAAACCCCUUAAAAGUGUGGAAAAUUAAUGCCAGUUUUAAAAAGAAAAAAGCAAAGCGC